GUAGUUAGUGGCGGACGGGUGAGUAACGCGUGGGAAACCUGCCCUAGUACAGGGGGAUAGCCUCGGGAAACCGGGAUUAAUACCCCAUAAAGCUCUAGAAUCGCAUGAUUCAAGAGUCAAAACUCCGGUGGUAUAGGAUGGUCCCGCGUCCCAUUAGCUAGUUGGUGAGGUAACGGCCCACCAAGGCGACGAUGGGUAGCCGGCCUGAGAGGGUGAACGGCCACACUGGAACUGAGACACGGUCCAGACUCCUACGGGAGGCAGCAGUGGGGAAUAUUGCAACAAUGGGGGAAACCCUGAUGCAGCGACGCCGCGUGAGCGAAGAAGGCCUUCGGGUCGUAAAGCUCUGUCCUAAGGGAAGAAAAAGACGGUACCUUAGGAGGAAGCCCCGGCUAACUACGUGCCAGCCGCCGC
Molecule: ribosomal RNA, 414 nt
Filed under: uncultured bacterium
Lineage: Bacteria
Description: bacterial SSU rRNA
Rfam family: Bacterial small subunit ribosomal RNA
Source: RNAcentral